UACGUAGGUGGCAAGCGUUAUCCGGAAUUAUUGGGCGUAAAGCGCGCGCAGGUGGUUUCUUAAGUCUGAUGUGAAAGCCCACGGCUCAACCGUGGAGGGUCAUUGGAGACUGGGAGACUUGAGUGCAGAAGAGGAAAGUGGAAUUCCAUGUGUAGCGGUGAAAUGCGUAGAGAUAUGGAGGAACACCAGUGGCGAAGGCGACUUUCUGGUCUGUAACUGACACUGAGGCGCGAAAGCGUGGGGAGCAAACAGG
This 253-nucleotide ribosomal RNA is filed under the name uncultured bacterium. RNAcentral's name for it is "partial 16S ribosomal RNA". It matches the Rfam family "Bacterial small subunit ribosomal RNA", at positions 524 to 776 of the family's 1533-position model. The record is from RNAcentral.